Molecule: RNA transcript, 833 nt
Organism: Xenia sp. Carnegie-2017
Lineage: Eukaryota; Metazoa; Cnidaria; Anthozoa; Malacalcyonacea; Xeniidae
Exons: 3
Source: RefSeq, a predicted model, not a curated record
UAUAAUUUUUCCCGAAGUAAACAAAAUGGCUGUUAGAAACCAAAUAAGCGCUAUUGAGCUAGAGGAAUUCUUUCGUUCAUUACAAGAGCUUUUGAUUUCUUCAUUCAACGAUGUGUCUUUUGACUCAGCUGAGUAUAUUUCUCGCCGUCUCGAUGGAUAUGAAAGAAAUCUAAGUGUAUUAUUGGCAAGACUGCAAGAAUCGUUUCCUAAUGAAGCACAAUUGCUAACAGAUAUGAGAGAUCUUCUUGGUAUCGUUCGUACCCAGAAAGAAAGGUCUGAGGUAUUAUCAUUUUGCUCAUUAAUGGCAGAGGAACAGCAAACUAAUGACCAAAUAAGUGUAAACCAGAUUAGGAGUUGCGUUGGUCGACCCAGACUUCACGUUUCUGAAGAAUUGCUGGGGACACUACACUCUCAGGUUGGAUUUUCGUGGUCGCAGAUUGCAAGAGAUCUUGGCAUUUCUGAAAGUACCAUACGUCGCAGAAGACGAUUGUUUCAAAUGCCAAGUCAACAGAUUAAUACAGGGUGCGUUACGACAACGUGGACUGCAUGUCCAACGACGACGAGUUCUUGAAUCGUUGCACCGGGUUGACCCAGUUGUGGUAACCCUUAGAGGAUCAAGAAGCAUCAUACGAAGACGCUAUUCCGUUCCUUGUCCAAAUGCGUUAUGGUAUGUGAAAUAUUCAUUAAGGGAAAACUGGUGGCAUUUGGAUGGGAAUCACAAACUUAUUCAACCGUAUCGUAUUGUAAUUCAUGGUGGCAUAGAUGGGUAUUCUAGAAUGAUUGUCUUCUUAAGAGCAUCAACAAACAACCAAGCAUCUACUGUAAUGGAAUGC